AUGAAGUGCUAUCUGGGACAACUGAUGGAAGAGAAGAGCCAAGGUUUGGAGCUGCAGGUAAAAACUAUGGUUGAGUUUCAAAGGAGAUUUGAGCAGCUGAUGGAGAGGAGGCUGAAUGGAAAACUGCUAGAUGAGGAAAGUGGCUAGUGGAGCCAUGUGACAGCAAGAACCAGGCAGAGGAAAAGACCACCUAGUGAAGGGGAAAUAGAGGUGAAGAACAGAUUUGCUGAGUUGCAAAAUGAAGAAUGAACAUAGCAGGCAGUAAAAGAAGGUGGGAGGGCAACAAAAAAGAGAAGAGUGGCUAGUCCUAUACGAAAGCCAGAGUUUAGAAUCACAGGAGGAUAGAGGAUGAUUGACAGAAGACUGCAAGUAAGAGCAAAGGAUGAGAGGACUUGCCGCCAGAAAAAACUGAAGGAGGAAGGCCAGAGAAUUGCACCAACACCAGGAAGAGGCAGGUCUGUGUGAUUAGGGACUACCUACUAAGAAAGACAGGCCUGUCACCAGAGCUGAUCUAGGGAACAGAAGGGUGUGUUGUAUGCUGGGAGUUAAGAUAUGGGAUGUGGACCUGAGGCUGCAGAGGAUCCUAAUGAGAGCAGGAAAGAAUCCACUGAUUGUCCUUCACACCCUGCACACUGUUGUAGUAAUCUGUUUGUACAAAGUAUGCCCUGUAGAGUAUCAUUUGAAAACUUUUAUAACUUGCUGGUCAGUAAUUAUGGUUGUAAAACGUGUGGCAACACUGUAUGUGAAGUUUUAAGGUUCCCCUGAAUGAUAUUACUAACAUGUUCCAAAUGCCACAGCCCUGCCCAGGCAGAAGUGAGGUCUGUCCUAAACAAAGGAAGUAAUGUGUGCUUGCCUUAAUUUUAAUUUAAACAAUAAACAAAGUCAUCAAGCAGGGAGGGAAACAAAUGAAGUUUCAACAGGUGGGGAAAAAAAAACCCAGCAGGGAAUAGCCUGCCACAUAGACUCUUGGUCUCAGCCAGAAAUGUUUUUCAAGAGGGCAACUGAUAUUAUGAAAAGAAGAGACAAUCCAAUACAUCCCCCUCUCUCUUCCUGCCCAUUACACUCUCUGCACCUGAGAAGAGAAAAGGGAAACAGCUGUUGGAUGCUGGGGGAGGGGUCCUGACCUGAGAGUUUGACCAGUAAUCUGCUGGAGCAUGUGCUGAGAAAGUGUGCUUUGCAACUAAGAUAGUUUCUUAAGUAGAUAUUAAAAAGUGUUUUGUCUCUGUUUUUCUUGUAACCAUUUCUGGCUUUUAUACCUCAUUACUUAUAGACACUUCAGAUCUCUUUAAUAAACUUGUUUUACUGUUUUA
Gopherus flavomarginatus (Mexican gopher tortoise) is the source of this 1310-nucleotide long non-coding RNA. RefSeq lists it as uncharacterized. The transcript has 2 exons. The record is from RefSeq and is a predicted model, not a curated record. Lineage: Eukaryota; Metazoa; Chordata; Testudines; Testudinidae.